Molecule: transfer RNA, 85 nt
Filed under: Glaesserella parasuis
Lineage: Bacteria; Pseudomonadati; Pseudomonadota; Gammaproteobacteria; Pasteurellales; Pasteurellaceae
Also listed under: 3 other names
Description: tRNA-Leu
Rfam family: tRNA
About the family: Transfer RNA (tRNA) molecules are approximately 80 nucleotides in length. Their secondary structure includes four short double-helical elements and three loops (D, anti-codon, and T loops). Further hydrogen bonds mediate the characteristic L-shaped molecular structure. tRNAs have two regions of fundamental functional importance: the anti-codon, which is responsible for specific mRNA codon recognition, and the 3' end, to which the tRNAs corresponding amino acid is attached (by aminoacyl-tRNA synthetases). tRNAs cope with the degeneracy of the genetic code in two manners: having more than one tRNA (with a specific anti-codon) for a particular amino acid; and 'wobble' base-pairing, i.e. permitting non-standard base-pairing at the 3rd anti-codon position.
Source: RNAcentral
GCCUGAGUGGUGAAAUCGGUAGACACAACGGAUUCAAAAUCCGUCGCCCCUAAAGCGUGUCGGUUCGAGUCCGACCUCAGCACCA